AUUGAACGCUGGCGGAAUGCUUUACACAUGCAAGUCGAACGGCAGCACGGACUUCGGUCUGGUGGCGAGUGGCGAACGGGUGAGUAAUAUAUCGGAACGUGCCCAGUCGUGGGGGAUAACGUAGCGAAAGUUACGCUAAUACCGCAUACGAUCUAAGGAUGAAAGCGGGGGAUCGCAAGACCUCGCGCGAUUGGAGCGGCCGAUAUCAGAUUAGGUAGUUGGUGGGGUAAAGGCUCACCAAGCCAACGAUCUGUAGCUGGUCUGAGAGGACGACCAGCCACACUGGAACUGAGACACGGUCCAGACUCCUACGGGAGGCAGCAGUGGGGAAUUUUGGACAAUGGACGCAAGUCUGAUCCAGCCAUUCCGCGUGCAGGAUGAAGGCCCUCGGGUUGUAAACUGCUUUUGUACAGAACGAAAAGGCUCUUCCUAAUACGGAGGGCUCAUGACGGUACUGUAAGAAUAAGCACCGGCUAACUACGUG
RNAcentral lists this ribosomal RNA (484 nucleotides) under uncultured bacterium. Its description in RNAcentral is "bacterial SSU rRNA". It matches the Rfam family "Bacterial small subunit ribosomal RNA", at positions 30 to 507 of the family's 1533-position model. The record is from RNAcentral.